RNAcentral lists this long non-coding RNA (935 nucleotides) under Phaseolus vulgaris (common bean). Its description in RNAcentral is "long non-coding RNA (PVUL_LNC004209)". The record is from RNAcentral. Lineage: Eukaryota; Viridiplantae; Streptophyta; Magnoliopsida; Fabales; Fabaceae.
AAAAGUUGGAUUUGAAAACCAAACUUUAAAACCAUGCUGCCACCUCAAACUGGUCCUUUCCUAGAAUGUUUAAAGUGUUUCAAAAUUGAGUAAAAAAAUAAUUGAGCUCCUCUCUAGCUAAACAUGUUGUUUAAAAGUUGGAUUUGAAAAACAAACUUUAAAACCAUGCUGCCACCUCAAACUGGUCCUUUCCUAAAAUGUUUGUCAACCAAUUGUGUUUUCUAUGGUAAUCAAACUCAAGUUAUAACUCGCAAAAACGUAGUAGUUUACAAACACACAUCCCUUGUUCGAGUUAACUCGUAGAAUUGUUUUUGAGUAGGCUUGAGGUAAACUCAGGUGAACUUGGCCAAAAUCAUGAGGUCACUUCCCAGUUGGCGAGUUCAGAUGUUAUUAUUUGUUUAAUUGAAAAUGAUGCCACUUUAUGUCAUUUUGCUUGAAAAGACCCAGGAUUAGGGUUAUCCGCAAUCCCAUUUCUUUUGUCUUUUCUCUUUGUUCCUGCUAGUGGAAAUUGGUGACAGAGCUGCUGCUCUCAUCACGCGCCAAAGUUACUUUACUUUUAAGACUUGUUAAAUAAACCCAUUUCCUCAUUUAAUCCUACUGAGCAAUAAUUUAGGGAGGUUGAGUGUAUCAGGUAUAGCUGAGGAUAUUUAAAACACCACCAGUCAUUUGUCGCCAUAUGUGAGGGCUUUUUGGCAUAAGGGAAAGGGAUACCCAAGAAGGAAUGGGGUUCGAAGAACUAUUGUUCCGGGUUCCAAGAACUAUUGUUAUUUUCGGCCUAAACAUACCCUAGUUCACUUGUCUGGUUAUGUAAAUCUCUGUCCAACUCAUUAUUAGUAAAGCAUAUUCAGCUCCCUAAUCUUCCACUUGUUUUAUAAUCAUGUAGACAUUCUCAUCUUCCUUCUAGGUACCCGCAUUAAUUCACUAUUGGAGUUCCC